GAUGAACGCUGGCGGCGUGCCUAAUACAUGCAAGUCGAGCGAACGGACGAGAAGCUUGCUUCACUGAUGUUAGCGGCGGACGGGUGAGUCACACGUGGAUAACCUAUCUCUUUGACUUGGCUAACUUCGAGUAACCGUAGUAAAUACCGGAUGCUCUUUUUGCCCGGUUGGUUCAAAAGUGUUACAGGGUCUUGCUAUCCAUUCUCGAUGUAUCCGCGCGUCAUUGGCGUGUUGGUUAGGUAAGGGCUUACCAAGGCAACGAUGCAUAGCCGACCUGAGAGGGUGAUCGGCCACACUGGGACUGAGACACGGUCCAGACUCCUACGGGAGGCAGCAGUAGGGAAUCUUCCGCAAUGGGCGAAAGCCUGACGGAGCAACGCCGCGUGAGUGAUGAAGGUCUUCGGAUCGUAAAACUCUGUUAUUAGGGAAGAACAUAUGUGUAAGUAACGGUGCACAUCUUGACGGUACCUAAUCAGAAAGCCACGGCUAACUACGUG
This 497-nucleotide ribosomal RNA is filed under the name uncultured bacterium. RNAcentral describes it as "partial 16S ribosomal RNA". It matches the Rfam family "Bacterial small subunit ribosomal RNA", at positions 28 to 507 of the family's 1533-position model. The record is from RNAcentral.